UUGGGGCCGUCACGGACAGGGGGCCGGUCACUUUACAGGUGGGGGGUUUACAGGCCCCAGGACAAAAUGUCCCUCGGCGGAGCGGCCCUGGGACCGCCCCAAAGGCCUUGCGGUGGGAGGGAGCCAGGUGCGCUCCGGGUGCAGAGGUGGGAGGGCAGGUGGGGCACAGCCUGGCGGAGAGAACCCUGAGCCCAGGCGGGCGGACUUCCAGGCACCCGGCAGGACAGGCGGGAUGGGACCCCUGUUUUGAGCAAUGACAAUGGUAACGAGAGGAACCAGCAAGGGAGAUAAAGACGGACGGACCCAGCGCAGCCUGCCAUCGCGUACCUGAUGGGGAGAGCAUAUGGGAACUCGCACGAUGCAACAAUCUCCUCUUCCAGAUGGUGUUCCAUCCCUGUCACACGUUGCCCAGCAGAGCUCUGGCACUGUGGGUUUCUUUUGUUGACAAUUUCUUUCUGCCAAGGCUAAUGUUUCAAAGAUCAGUGUUGCAAGUUCUGAAUUUGGGAAAGGUCUGAUUCUUCCAUCAAUCCUUAAAUCACCUCCCUCCCGUGCUGGCUGUGACGACACAUGCUGAUAUGUUGUGACCUGCCAAGGGGGACAGGCCCUCACGGCAAUGAGCCAAAGAAGGAACAGCAGCAAGCCCGCAAGGAACUCAAUGUCACCAACAGCCAUGUGCACUUGGAAGGAAAUCUUUCCCGGCUGAGUCUCCAGAUGAGACCAGAGAGGCUGGACCAGCACCUUGCUUGCAGCCUUGUGACAGCCCCUGCGGCCUGGAGGACCCAGCCGAGCCUUUACCUGGACUUCUGACCCACAGAAAC
Molecule: long non-coding RNA, 818 nt
Organism: Manis pentadactyla (Chinese pangolin)
Lineage: Eukaryota; Metazoa; Chordata; Mammalia; Pholidota; Manidae
Exons: 4
Source: RefSeq, a predicted model, not a curated record